AACGAACGCUGGCGGCAUGCCUAACACAUGCAAGUCGAACGAGACCUUCGGGUCUAGUGGCGCACGGGUGCGUAACGCGUGGGAACCUGCCCUUAGGUUCGGAAUAACUCCCCGAAAGGGGUGCUAAUACCGGAUAAUGUCUUCGGACCAAAGAUUUAUCGCCUUUGGAUGGGCCCGCGUUGGAUUAGCGAGUUGGUAGGGUAAAAGCCUACCAAGGCGACGAUGCAUAGCUGGUCUGAGAGGAUGAUCAGCCACACUGGGACUGAGACACGGCCCAGACUCCUACGGGAGGCAGCAGUGGGGUAUAUUGGACAAUGGGCGAAAGCCUGAUCCAGCAAUGCCGCGUGAGUGAUGAAGGCCUUAGGGUUGUAAAGCUCUUUUACCCGGGAUGAUAAUGACAGUACCGGGAGAAUAAGCACCGGCUAACUCCGUG
RNAcentral lists this ribosomal RNA (433 nucleotides) under uncultured bacterium. RNAcentral's name for it is "partial 16S ribosomal RNA". It matches the Rfam family "Bacterial small subunit ribosomal RNA", at positions 29 to 507 of the family's 1533-position model. The record is from RNAcentral.